RNAcentral lists this ribosomal RNA (764 nucleotides) under uncultured bacterium. Its description in RNAcentral is "bacterial SSU rRNA". It matches the Rfam family "Bacterial small subunit ribosomal RNA", at positions 36 to 782 of the family's 1533-position model. The record is from RNAcentral.
CUGGCGGCGUGCUUAACACAUGCAAGUCAAGGAGAAAGGGAAUCUUCGGAAUCCCAAGUAAACUGGCGAACGGGUGAGUAACACGUAGGUAACCUGCCUCUUGGACAGGGAUAACCCGACUAACGUCGGGCUAAUACCUGAUAAUAUCAAAAUGGCGCAUGUCAUUUUGAUCAAAGCUGCCUUCGGGUAGCACCAGGAGAUGGACCUGCGCCCCAUUAGCUUGUUGGUGAGGUAACGGCUCACCAAGGCGACGAUGGGUAGCCGGCCUGAGAGGGUGAACGGCCACACUGUGACUGAGAUACGGCCCAGACUCCUACGGGAGGCAGCAGUGAGGAAUAUUGCGCAAUGGGCGAAAGCCUGACGCAGCAACGCCGCGUGGAUGAUGAAGCUCUAAGGAGUGUAAAGUCCUGUUAGGAGGGAAGAACAACUUUGAUUCGAAUAGGUUCAAAGUUUGACGGUACCUCCAGAGAAAGCCCCGGCUAACUCCGUGCCAGCAGCCGCGGUAAUACGGGGGGGGCAAGCGUUGUCCGGAAUUAUUGGGCGUAAAGGGCGCGUAGGCGGAACAGUAAGUCAGAAGUGAAAACCAUGGGCUUAACUCAUGGCCUGCUUUUGAAACUGCUGUUCUUGAGUGCGGUAGAGGGAAGUGGAAUUCCCGGCGUAGCUGUGACACCAUCCCAAUCAGGAAGAACACCGGUACCGAAGGCGGCGUCCUGGCCCGAAAAAGACGUUCAGGCGAGAUAGCGUGGGGAGCAAACUGGUCAGGA